RNAcentral lists this ribosomal RNA (271 nucleotides) under uncultured bacterium. Its description in RNAcentral is "partial 16S ribosomal RNA". It matches the Rfam family "Bacterial small subunit ribosomal RNA", at positions 524 to 794 of the family's 1533-position model. The record is from RNAcentral.
UACAGAGGGGGCAAGCGUUAUUCGGAAUUAUUGGGCGUAAAGGGCGCGUAGGCGGUUUUUUAAGUCAGAUGUGUAAUCCCCGAGCUCAACUUGGGAACUGCAUCUGAGACUGGAAGGCUAGAGUACUGGAGGGGGUGGUGGAAUUCCCGGUGUAGAGGUGAAAUUCGUAGAUAUCGGGAGGAAUACCGGUGGCGAAGGCGACCACCUGGCCAAAUACUGACGCUGAGGUGCGAAAGCGUGGGGAGCAAACAGGAUUAGAAACCCGGGUAGU